GGCCAGGCAGAAGCAGCAUGGGUUUCCACUCACACGAUUUAUCUACUGCUAGUUAAAUCUCUGGAUUUAACUCUGAUGAAAGACCUGAGGCUGAAGGGGAACUUCAAUGUCAUAUAUUUUAAAGGUUGACUCACAGUUUGGAGCAAGAAUUAAAGAACCACGAACAUCAAGGCUGGAUGAAGUGGCUCAUGCCUGUAAUCCAAGCACUUUGACAGGCUGAGGCGGGCGGAUGGCUUGAGCCCAGGAGUCUGAGACCAGCCUGGAAAACAUAGAGAAACCCUGUCUCAAUAUAAGAAGAAGAAGAAAAAGAAAAAAAAAAAUCAAAAACGAAAACAACACAAAUUUUAGAGUGAUGUAAAAUUCUCAAACAAUGAGAUAGAUAAAAAGUACGCAGCCAAAAAAUGCAGGAAGAAGUGUUAUAGAGAUGGAGCAGGCCCUUCAUAAAAACACGAUGUUGGUUUUCUGGAUUUUGGAGGCCCCACAAAACCUGGAUCAGACUCGCCCACUGCCCUGUGUCUGCCCGACCAACCACCUCUCCUGCCCAGCAGGGAUGUGGGUGGCAGUGGUGCUGUGUGGAGGGUGGCGGGAGGACU
Molecule: long non-coding RNA, 593 nt
Filed under: Pongo abelii (Sumatran orangutan)
Lineage: Eukaryota; Metazoa; Chordata; Mammalia; Primates; Hominidae
Description: lincRNA
Source: RNAcentral